CAAGUAGACGAGGCAAUCGCCCCCCACCAGUACUGGUGAGGGGGAGGAAAGUCCGAACUUCCCCCCGUUCUUUCCGAGAAAGGGCGGGAUAAAAAAGUAGCGGGUAACACCCGUCGGCCGUGAGGCUAGAGGUGCGAACAGUGACGCCGAGAUCCGAAAGGGUCGAGGCACCCUGUCAUUCGACAGGGCGAACUUUGAGAGAAAUCUCGAAGGUGAAACGGCUAAAUCCUUACUGGAAGCAAGAACAAACCCCGCCCCUUCGAUAAUUUAGGAAAUACCUACAAGAUUUGUUUCUAAGCUGCAAAAGAACAGUUUGUAUGAAAUCUUGAAUUUUAAAGAAGGGGCGGGGGAAAAGUAGUUCGAUUGACCCCGAGAGUAAUCAAGGGGCUAGAUAGAUGAUUGCCUAAAACAGAAUUCGGCUUAUUGCCUACUUGAGCU
RNAcentral lists this RNase P RNA (438 nucleotides) under Parcubacteria group bacterium CG2_30_36_18. Its description in RNAcentral is "RNase P RNA component class A". It matches the Rfam family "Bacterial RNase P class A". From Rfam's summary of the family: Ribonuclease P (RNase P) is a ubiquitous endoribonuclease, found in archaea, bacteria and eukarya as well as chloroplasts and mitochondria. The record is from RNAcentral.